This 1692-nucleotide ribosomal RNA is filed under the name human gut metagenome. RNAcentral describes it as "bacterial LSU rRNA". It matches the Rfam family "Bacterial large subunit ribosomal RNA", at positions 819 to 2538 of the family's 2925-position model. The record is from RNAcentral.
GGAGAAAUUCCAAUCGAACCCGGAGAUAGCUGGUUCUCCUCGAAAUAGCUUUAGGGCUAGCCUCGAUAGAGAUACAUGGAGGUAGAGCACUGAAUUUCCUAGGGGGCGUCAAAGCCUACCGAAGAAUAUCAAACUCCGAAUGCCAUGGAAUUGAUUAUCGGGAGUCAGACUAUACGAGAUAAGUUGGAUAGUCAAAAGGGAAAGAGCCCAGACCUCCAGCUAAGGUCCCAAAGUACGUGUUAAGUGGAAAAGGAUGUGGGAUUUCGAAGACAACCAGGAUGUUGGCUCAGAAGCAGCCAUACAUUCAAAGAGUGCGUAAUAGCUCACUGGUCGAGAGGUCCUGCGCCGAAAAUGUCCGGGGCUAAAACACGACACCGAAGCUGAGGAAUGUAUUUGAUACAUUGGUAGAGGAGCAUUGAAUACGGGAAGAAGCAGUACCGAAAGGAGCUGUGGACUGUAUUGAAGAGAGAAUGCCGGAAUGAGUAGCGAGAAUAAGGUGAGAAUCCUUAUGGCCGAAUAUCUAAGGUUUCCAGGGUAAAGCUGAUCUGCCCUGGGUAAGUCGGGACCUAAGGCGAGGUCGAAAGACGUAGCCGAUGGACAACAGGUUGAGAUUCCUGUACUGCGUUAGAACAGAACUGUGGGGACACGUGUGGAAAGCACAACCCGGGAAUGGAAUCCCGGGGCAAGCGAAGGAGGAGUCACAUAGGAAAAACCGUGUGGCAAUCCAAAGGCGUGAUGCGGACCGAAUUCGAGUAGGGAAGUGUGUGAGCCAUGCGUCAAGAAAAGCCGCUAUUGUUUGUAACGUACCCGUACCGUAAACCGACACAGGUGGAUGAGGAGAGAAUCCUAAGGCCGACGGAAGAAGCAUUGCCAAGGAACUCGGCAAAAUGACCCCGUAACUUCGGGAGAAGGGGUGCCCGUGUAAAAGCGGGCCGCAGAGAAUAGGCUCAAGCAACUGUUUAGCAAAAACACAGGUCUAUGCGAAACCGAAAGGUGAGGUAUAUGGGCUGACGCCUGCCCGGUGCUGGAAGGUUAAGAGGAGAUGUCAGGAAACGAAGCAUUGAAUUUAAGCCCCAGUAAACGGCGGCCGUAACUAUAACGGUCCUAAGGUAGCGAAAUUCCUUGUCGGGUAAGUUCCGACCCGCACGAAAGGCGUAAUGAUUUGAGCGCUGUCUCGGCAAUGCAUCCGGUGAAAUUGAAGUACCAGUGAAGAUGCUGGUUACCUGCGCCAGGACGGAAAGACCCCAUGGAGCUUUACUCCAGUUUGGUACUGGGAUUCGGUAUUGCAUGUACAGGAUAGGUGGGAGACAAAGAGGUAGUGACGCCAGUUGCUACGGAGUCGAUGUUGGGAUACCACCCUUGCAGUAUUGGGUUUCUAACCAGCCGCCGUGACCCGGCGGUGGGACAAUGCCAGGCGGGGAGUUUGACUGGGGCGGUCGCCUCCGAAAGGGUAUCGGAGGCGCCCAAAGGUUCCCUCAGAAUGGACGGAAACCAUUCGAAGAGUGCAAAGGCAGAAGGGAGCUUGACUGCGACACCGACGGGUGGAGCAGGUACGAAAGUAGGGCUUAGUGAUCCGGUGGUAUUAAGUGGGAAUGCCAUCGCUCAACGGAUAAAAGCUACCCUGGGGAUAACAGGCUUAUCACUCCCAAGAGUUCACAUCGACGGAGUGGUUUGGCACCUCGAUGUCGGCUC